GACGAACGCUGGCGGCGUGCCUAAUACAUGCAAGUAGAACGCUGAAGGGAGAGCUUGCUCUUCUGGAUGAGUUGCGAACGGGUGAGUAACGCGUAGGUAACCUGCCUGGUAGCGGGGGAUAACUAUUGGAAACGAUAGCUAAUACCGCAUAACAUUGACUAUUGCAUGAUAGUCAAUUGAAAGGUGCAAAUGCAUCACUACCAGAUGGACCUGCGUUGUAUUAGCUAGUUGGUGGGGUAACGGCUCACCAAGGCUACGAUACAUAGCCGACCUGAGAGGGUGAUCGGCCACACUGGGACUGAGACACGGCCCAGACUCCUACGGGAGGCAGCAGUAGGGAAUCUUCGGCAAUGGACGAAAGUCUGACCGAGCAACGCCGCGUGAGUGAAGAAGGUUUUCGGAUCGUAAAGCUCUGUUGUAAGUCAAGAACGUGUGUGAGAGUGGAAAGUUCACACAGUGACGGUAGCUUACCAGAAAGGACGGC
RNAcentral lists this ribosomal RNA (484 nucleotides) under Streptococcus cristatus. RNAcentral describes it as "bacterial SSU rRNA". It matches the Rfam family "Bacterial small subunit ribosomal RNA", at positions 28 to 497 of the family's 1533-position model. Lineage: Bacteria; Bacillati; Bacillota; Bacilli; Lactobacillales; Streptococcaceae. The record is from RNAcentral.